Molecule: ribosomal RNA, 574 nt
Filed under: Exophiala capensis
Lineage: Eukaryota; Fungi; Ascomycota; Eurotiomycetes; Chaetothyriales; Herpotrichiellaceae
Description: eukaryotic LSU rRNA
Rfam family: 5.8S ribosomal RNA (bases 188-342)
Source: RNAcentral
UUUGGGCCCGAUCUCCCAACCCUUUGUUUACUGGACCACUUGUUGCUUCGGCGGGCCCGUCCCCCCAGGGGACCGCCGGAGGGCCGUCAAACGCCCUCUGGCCCGCUGCCUGUCGACGCCCAACCUUAACAAACUCUUUAACUAAACAUGUCAUUGUCUGAGUACCUGAUUGUAAAAUCAUAAGCAAAACUUUCAACAACGGAUCUCUUGGUUCUGGCAUCGAUGAAGAACGCAGCGAAAUGCGAUAAGUAAUGCGAAUUGCAGAAUUCCAGUGAGUCAUCGAAUCUUUGAACGCACAUUGCGCCCUUUGGUAUUCCGAAGGGCAUGCCUGUUCGAGCGUCAUUAUCACCCCUCAAGCCCCCGGGCUUGGUGUUGGACGGCCUGGUGGGGACCUCCGGGUCCCUCACCCCUCCUAAAGACAAUGACGGCGGCCUCGUUGGACCCCCGGUACACUGAGUUCUUUACCGAGCACGUACUGGAUCAAGGGUUCGCGGGACACGGUCUAAACCCCCCCUUAUUUCUCUAAGGUUGACCUCGGAUCAGGUAGGGAUACCCGCUGAACUUAAGCAUAUCA